Molecule: ribosomal RNA, 253 nt
Filed under: uncultured bacterium
Lineage: Bacteria
Description: partial 16S ribosomal RNA
Rfam family: Bacterial small subunit ribosomal RNA
Source: RNAcentral
UACGGAGGAUGCAAGCGUUAUCCGGAAUGAUUGGGCGUAAAGCGUCCGCAGGUGGCUGUGUAAGUCUGCUGUCAAAGAGCAAAGCUCAACUUUGUAAAGGCAGUGGAAACUACACGGCUAGAGUGCGUUCGGGGCAGAGGGAAUUCCUGGUGUAGCGGUGAAAUGCGUAGAGAUCAGGAAGAACACCAACGGCGAAAGCACUCUGCUGGGCCGAAACUGACACUGAGAGACGAAAGCUAGGGGAGCAAAUGGG